This is a long non-coding RNA of Branchiostoma belcheri (Belcher's lancelet), 426 nucleotides long. RefSeq lists it as uncharacterized. The transcript is spliced from 3 exons. The record is from RefSeq and is a predicted model, not a curated record. Lineage: Eukaryota; Metazoa; Chordata; Leptocardii; Amphioxiformes; Branchiostomatidae.
GCGGAUGUCCAUUGCUGCCCUCCCAUACUGAGGUAAGUCUGACCGCCACGACCACUGGCUCCGUGGCAACUUACCGCUGCAAGACGGGAUUUCAGUCCGGGAACGGGACCACAACGCUUACCUGUGGCAGCGAUGGGGAAUGGAAGGGCACAUUGCUAAGUUGUGAAGCGAUGACCCCCUGUAUCCGGUUCUGUGGGUUUGGAAGCUGUUUUGUUGAUGGCGACAUUCAGAAGUGUGACUGCAACACAGGAUACGGAUUUUUUGGUCUUUCCCAGUUUUGCCGAGAUAUCAAUGAAUGCGAAGACGGUUUAGACUAUUGCUUGGGCCGGCCAGCCUGUGUGACUAACGCGAGGUGCAUCAACUCUCCGUACGGCUCGUACACGUGCCGGUGCCCCAGUGGUUAUACUGGUGACGGGAGGACAUCAU